CGAAACUCAACAAGUGACAGUUUAACAAGCACUUCAUACACAAGGCACGGUUCUGCAUGCUGAGAGCACUGAAGCAAGCAAGCCAGAGCUCCGGAGGGGAGACGGAUAAUAAACAGGCAGCAGACACAUAGGAGGUGAUUUUAUAUUGAUGAACUCAGUGAAGAAAUGCAACCUGGAGGUAAUACUUUAAGAGGUCAGAAGAAAGGAGGUGAUGCUUGAGAUGAGACCUACCUGGCAGCAAGAGUACCGCCAUUGCAAACACUGGAGAUGGAGGCACGCCGUGAUAUGUGCUCCAUGGGCUCACAGUUCAUUGCGGGAAACAGCCAGGUUGACAAUGAUACUAACAAUCACAAUGCCCUGUAAAUGUGAAUGAAGUGGUUCUUGCUCAUAGAGAACCCAGGUGGACCGGCCACACUGAAAGGGGCAUAUGUUCACAGCUCAUGAAAGUGCUGUGUGCGAAAUAAGAAAGUACAACUAAUUGCAACUGGGCCAAAGACCACGUCUUGUUUGUUAAGAGCCAGACACCGAGGCAGUGAAAAGGAAGGAAAGACAAUUUACCCUGCGCCCACGACGGACAGGUCAUGCAUUUGUUGUUAGCCUGUUCUUUCUCAUCUUUAGAAUGUCGAUACUAAUACACGACCCUCAAUGUUAUUUUGCUGUGAACAUUUACUAAGAAAAUAUCCAUAAAAUACUGUACAAUUUCAAAUUUGUGCAUCAUAUUUAUAUAUACACCUGUGUGCAUGUGUAUGUAUGAACCCGCACACAUACACACACAUAGAUACAUGCAUACAUACAUAUACGUAUAUGUAAAAUAUCAUUCAUAUUUUCAUUGAUGUAGCAUAAUAUGUAAACAUGAAUUCAUACAGCAGGCUUGGAAAUAUGAUGAGAAGGAUUUUUUAUUAGAAGCAAAGACAGAUAGCUCAGUUUCUUCAAUCCAAAUUGGAGCAUUUUAUCUUAGACAUUUUGCUAGUUUACUUACUACUGUCAAGAUAAUAUCUGCUACUUCGGGACAGGGGUAAUGUAGUUUUCUUCUUAUAUGACUGAUAAACAUCAACAAUUUU
Molecule: long non-coding RNA, 1061 nt
Filed under: Homo sapiens (human)
Lineage: Eukaryota; Metazoa; Chordata; Mammalia; Primates; Hominidae
Description: HSALNT0026333
Source: RNAcentral